Molecule: ribosomal RNA, 528 nt
Filed under: Triticum aestivum (bread wheat)
Lineage: Eukaryota; Viridiplantae; Streptophyta; Magnoliopsida; Poales; Poaceae
Description: partial small subunit ribosomal RNA
Source: RNAcentral
AUGCCGGCUGGCCGCUACGACGGGAACGUGUCCCUCGCCAGCGAGACCCUCCCCAACCUGCCCCCUCCCUUCACGAACAUCACUGUCCUUGAGGAUAUGUUCAGGGUCAAGGGGCUCAGCCUCGAGGACAUGGUCACCCUCUCGGGCGCCCACACGGUCGGGAUCUCCCACUGCUCGUCCUUCCGUGACCGCCUCCCCCCAAACCCCUCAUCGAUGGAUCCAACUUUAGCUGCAUCCCUGCAGGGGCAGUGCAGCCGCGGCGACGACCCCACUGUGGUUCAGGAUCCCAAGACUCCCGAUGACCUGGACAACCAAUACUAUGACAACGUGCAGAAACGCAAGGUGUUGUUCAAGUCAGAUGCCGCGCUCAUGUCAUCUGAUACGACAUCGAGAUUGGUGGACAAUCACGCCAAGGACCUGCGGGAGUGGUUGAAGCAAUUCAAGGCGGCUAUGGUGAAAAUGGGCAGCAUCGAGGUGAAGACCGAGGCCAACGGGCAGAUCCGAAAGCACUACCAGUUUGUCAAUUAA